Molecule: ribosomal RNA, 253 nt
Filed under: uncultured bacterium
Lineage: Bacteria
Description: partial 16S ribosomal RNA
Rfam family: Bacterial small subunit ribosomal RNA
Source: RNAcentral
UACGGGGGGGGUAAGCGUUGUUCGGAAUUACUGGGCGUAAAGGGCUCGUAGGCGGCCAACUAAGUCAGACGUGAAAUCCCUCGGCUUAACCGGGGAACUGCGUCUGAUACUGGAUGGCUUGAGUUUGGGAGAGGGAUGCGGAAUUCCACGUGUAGCGGUGAAAUGCGUAGAUAUGUGGAGGAAUACCGAUGGCGAAGGCAGCCUCCUGGGCCAACACUGACGCUCAUGCACGAAAGCGUGGGGAGCAAACAGG